AACGAACGCUGGCGGCAGGCCUAACACAUGCAAGUCGAGCGAGAUCUUCGGGUCUAGCGGCGGACGGGUGAGUAACGCGUGGGAAUAUGCCCUUCUCUGCGGAAUAGCCUCGGGAAACUGAGCGUAAUACCGCAUACGCCCUUUGGGGGAAAGAUUUAUCGGAGAAGGAUUAGCCCGCGUUGGAUUAGGUAGUUGGUGGGGUAACGGCCUACCAAGCCGACGAUCCAUAGCUGGUUUGAGAGGAUGAUCAGCCACACUGGGACUGAGACACGGCCCAGACUCCUACGGGAGGCAGCAGUGGGGAAUCUUAGACAAUGGGGGCAACCCUGAUCUAGCCAUGCCGCGUGAGUGAUGAAGGCCUUAGGGUUGUAAAGCUCUUUCAGCUGGGAAGAUAAUGACGGUACCAGCAGAAGAAGCCCCGGCUAACUCCG
Molecule: ribosomal RNA, 431 nt
Filed under: uncultured bacterium
Lineage: Bacteria
Description: partial 16S ribosomal RNA
Rfam family: Bacterial small subunit ribosomal RNA
Source: RNAcentral